Molecule: transfer RNA, 76 nt
Filed under: Candidatus Portnoybacteria bacterium CG_4_10_14_0_2_um_filter_43_36
Lineage: Bacteria; Candidatus Portnoyibacteriota
Also listed under: 4 other names
Description: tRNA-Asp
Rfam family: tRNA
About the family: Transfer RNA (tRNA) molecules are approximately 80 nucleotides in length.
Source: RNAcentral
GGGGGCGUAGCUUAGCGGUUAAAGCGCCUGCCUGUCACGCAGGAGAUCGUGGGUUCGAUUCCCAUCGUCCCCGCCA